Molecule: long non-coding RNA, 3223 nt
Organism: Schistocerca piceifrons (Central American locust)
Lineage: Eukaryota; Metazoa; Arthropoda; Insecta; Orthoptera; Acrididae
Exons: 3
Source: RefSeq, a predicted model, not a curated record
UCUUUGUAAUUUCAUUAAUACCUUUACCAGAUGAGGGUGGGGUAUUGCUUUUACUAUUGUACAAAAUUUCUAUCUCUAAUAAGUAUGACAUUACUGAUAAUGGAAUUGAUUUAUUUCUGCAUUUUUAUAUUAAUUGUAUGGUACAUUGGAUACUUAGUCGUCAGUCUUCAACAAAUUUUCCAGUUUAUUGUAGCACUUGGGUAUUGUGGAAUGGACAAAAAAGGAUUAUGCACCUCAUGGCAUGAGCAGUUUAUUUCAUCACAGAUAAUUAAUGUCAUUCAGAGACAAACAUUUUCACAUCUGUGUAACAACAUGUUGACACCAUAAAUACAUGGACAGCUGCUUAUGCAUACUGUAUGAGUUAAUCUACAAAUUUUCAGUGUCACUUUGAUUGUCUUGGUAGUAGAACAUUAUUUAUCAUAGUGCACAUAACUCAACAUGAAUGACUGUUUGUUGCUAGUAUUACAUUGUAACUCAGUUGCUUAGGUAGCCUGCAGUUCCUCCUCCUCUAUCGAUUUUUUUAGUGGGACCACAAGAGAUAGGAAUGUGAAAAGAAAAUUUGCAGUUUAAAUUUUUAUUGAUAUUUAUUCCUUAAACUGUAGACUUCUUUAUCUACUGUUCCAUGCUUGCUUCUUCCCUUAUAGACUUAGUGAUUCUCCAUUGUUUCUUAAUGUUAAAUUCAUAUAUAUUUGGUUUGACAAACUUUCACUUCUUUGCUUAGUGCUUUCAUCGUCGUCUUCAGUACACGUAAUGGGUUUCUGCAGCUUACUAUUCAAGACUACUCAAGCCUGUGCUGUGCGAGUCUCUUCAUCCCUGCAUAACUACUAGAGACUACAAUGUUUGAAACUGAGUACUGCAGUCAGUCUUGGUCACCCUCUACUGUUUUCAGCCCACUAUUUUCCUCUCAUACCAAGUUAACUAUUCCUUCUUUUAGUCAAAUUAUGGCAAAAUUUCUUUUCUCUCCAGUUUGAUUUGGUACCUCUUCAUUAUCAAAUCUACCAAUUUGAUGUUAAGCAUUCUUCUGUAGCGCCUCAUUUAAAAAACUUACUUUCUCUUCUUGUCUUUAUUGUUUUAUCCUCCAUUUACAAUUCUACAUUGCAGACAAAUAUUUUCAUAAACAAUAGUUCUGAACAAAGCUAUUUUCUAUGAAUGCGGCAACAGCGUUUUUUGGGGAGUCACUAGUAGUGGACUUACGUAUAGUGUAUUGUUUUCUUUGACAUUGUUUUUGCACUUGGUAUGCAUAUCUACCGAAGAUGAGUUGGUUUCAAGUAUCUUUAACAAGGCUGCAAUGUCAGCCUCAGCAGAAGCGUAUUUACACACCUCCCCAUGAAACUAUCCUGGCUGUCUUGUCUUCAUCAAUUUCAGUUAGUGAAAACAAAUAAAUAGGGCCUAACUAAAAGAAAUUGGGAGUAAUGAUGUAAAAAAAAAUUUCAUUUUCUGUUGGAUAACAGAGUUUUUCAUUAAUUCAUUAACAUAUUGUGUUGUGAUAAUCCAAUCAUGAAGGGGUGUGUCUUCAGGGCUGUGGAAUGAUUCAGUUUCUAUGUUAUCGGUCUACAUUAAUAGGCAGAAGCAGCCAAUGCAGGCAAUUUCUUUAUGGUAUACCAACAACAAAUUGAAGACCAGUAUGGAAAAUCAUCCCAAGUCCACCUUUGGUCAAUUUUCACUUUUAUAUUAAAGUGAAUGUACAUGCCUAGAGCUACAUCCCCUUAAAAUGCCACAAUACAUUUUCAAAUGAAUGAAAUAACAUCCCAAAUCCAUGGACUUGGACAGUUUUUCCAUUCAGUAACAUCUUGGAAGCCACAUGCAGUUUUCAGUACCUCAUGGCAGCUGCAACAAUCAAUAAAAAGUAUUUUUUUCAACAAUGGACGGGCUUACUACAUACUGAGUUGAGUUGAUCAUAUUUUAUAUAUUUUCUACCCACUCAGUUUGCAUGAAGCCUGUGUAGUGGACGCAUCAUUUGUGAAAGUUGGUAUUUUUUUCCGUUCUAAUAUGGAGGUGGUUUCAAGUGAUGGCAAUUCAGAUGUUUGUGGUAAAAAACAUAAAAUGUCUGACAAUUGGGGGGGGAAAAAAUGUAGCGAAACGAAAACGUGUUGCGGGAGAAGAAUAUACCACAAAUACAGGAGAAAUACAUCCAGGUUGAAGAACAGGCCGUAACAGCAAGUGCAGAAGAAAAUGUUGUGAUGUGUUGAUGAAGAAGAAAAGGCAGCUGUUCUAUGUAAUUUCAAUGGUUUAGCUGUGAAAAAUAAGCAAGAUUUUCAUGUCUGUGGUCUGAUGUCUCCUACGGUUGUUUUUCGUCAAAGACUCCGCAUGGACAAAUGUUCCCAGAAAACCUUUACAAUGAAAUAUAAUCAGGCAUGACUUGAUGCUCCCAGGAGAUGCCGAACACGGAAAGUGGAAGAGGCUUUACUGUAGAGAAUCCGUCAACAGGUACACAAAUGACAGUCUGCUGAAGAUCUUUCCAUCAGAAUGCAGAACCUCACCCUGAAUUACAAAAGCAGGCAAAGUCCUGUGUGUAAAUUAUUUUUGUGUUACAUUGUGCUUAUGCAGGUAAUUUACUUGAAACUAAUUCAUAUUGUUAGCAACAAACACAGUAAAGAAGCGAAACACAUACAAUGGGAAGUGAGUGCAAGAAUUCCAAGAUUUUUGAAUAGUCUUCUGCAAGAUGUUUGGUUUUCUAAUGACCAUAUUCAUUAUCAUGAAAUGAGAAGUAGGCCUAACAAUGACUUUUUUGUAGGGAAAUGUUUAUGGCAACCUUGUGUCAGAAAAGGUACUAUAUUAACAGAAACUUUAAUCCAACUCUUUGCAACAAAGAUUUAGAAUAGAAUUACAAGAUGUAUUGAAACAGUUUCCAAAUCAUUUAUGAAUAUACAAAUAAUUGACAGUAAGUUAGAAGUAUUCAGCUCAUUACAGACAUCUGUACAAAUUUUCUGUGCAUAACUUACGUAUCAGUAUUAAGAUUGUUUCAUAAUUUCAUAUUUAUUAGCACAGUUUAUAAAAUAUUUGCCAAUACCAUUCCAUUUAUUUAAACUCAGCAUCUCAUGCUGAUGGCACCGUGAUGGGAUCCCAACCCACUGUCAGACACCCCAAAGUAACACCAACACCUGAGUGAGGUUUAAGAAUAUAAGGUAUCUUGUAUAUGAUGAUAAUUGUAAUAAUAUAGUAUAAUUGUGUGUAAAAAUAAUCCAUAAAUUUAGUGUAUUAAAAUAUCUGUGUGUAUUAACUA